UACGUAGGGCGCAAGCGUUAUCCGAAAUUACUGGGCGUAAAGGGUUCGUAGGUGGUUCUUUAAGUUUUGUUCUAAAGCCCUCGGCUCAACCGAGGAAAAGAGCAGAAGACUGAAGAACUAGAGCAAGGGAGAGGCUACUGGAACUUACCGUGUAGGGGUGAAAUCCGUGGAUACGGUAAGGAACGCCAAAGGCGAAGGCAGGUAGCUAUAACUUCGCUGACACUGAUGAACUAAAGCCAGGGGAGCAAACCGGAUUAGAUACCCUCGUA
RNAcentral lists this ribosomal RNA (269 nucleotides) under uncultured prokaryote. Its description in RNAcentral is "partial 16S ribosomal RNA". It matches the Rfam family "Bacterial small subunit ribosomal RNA", at positions 524 to 792 of the family's 1533-position model. The record is from RNAcentral.